AAAGUAUCUGAUAUUCAAUUUUGGAACUCAAGCAAUCAUUUCAUGGGCCUAUGCGCGCCCAUGCACCAUUUCAUCAUCAUUUGCCAAAUUUGGAAAGUGAAAGUGAGUGUGCAAUUAUCAACCAAUUCAGCUAUAAAUAGAGCUUCAAUUGCUCAGAAUUUGAUACACAUUGGCGCCAACUUUGGUCCCCCACUUCAAACCCUACAGAGGAUAACCCUGAUAAAUUCUUUUGAAUUUGAGCUUGAAUCUCCACUGUUUUGGAAUUCAAUUCUCCAGGAAUC
RNAcentral lists this long non-coding RNA (281 nucleotides) under Lathyrus oleraceus (garden pea). RNAcentral's name for it is "Pisum sativum (pea) long non-coding RNA (PSAT_LNC030146)". The record is from RNAcentral. Lineage: Eukaryota; Viridiplantae; Streptophyta; Magnoliopsida; Fabales; Fabaceae.